AGGGUUUGACAUCCUGCGAACCCCUGAGAAAUCGGGGGGUGCCUUCGGGAGCGCAGAGACAGGUGGUGCAUGGCUGUCGUCAGCUCGUGUCGUGAGAUGUUGGGUUAAGUCCCGCAACGAGCGCAACCCACGUCGUUAGUUGCCAGCAUUCAGUUGGGCACUCUAGCGAGACCGCCGGUGAUAAACCGGAGGAAGGUGUGGAUGACGUCAAGUCAUCAUGCCCCUUACAUCCUGGGCUACACACGUACUACAAUGCUACGGACAAAGGGCAGCAAGCUCGCGAGAGUAAGCAAAUCCCAUAAACCGUGGCUCAGUUCAGAUCGUAGGCUGCAACUCGCCUACGUGAAGGAGGAAUCGCUAGUAAUCGCAGGUCAGCA
This 377-nucleotide ribosomal RNA is filed under the name uncultured cyanobacterium. Its description in RNAcentral is "bacterial SSU rRNA". It matches the Rfam family "Bacterial small subunit ribosomal RNA", at positions 976 to 1354 of the family's 1533-position model. The record is from RNAcentral. Lineage: Bacteria; Bacillati; Cyanobacteriota.